AGCAGCCGCGGUAAUUCCAGCUCCAAUAGCGUAUAUUAAAGUUGUUGCAGUUAAAAAGCUCGUAGUUGAAUUUCGGGAUCAAUAUUUCGGUCAUGCCGUUGGUAUGCACUGUUAUCAUUGAUUUCUCACCUUCUAAAGAACCGUAAUGCCAUUAAUUUGGUGUUACGGGGAAUUAGGACUGUUACCUUGAAAAAUUAGAGUGUUUAAAGCAGGCUUUAGCUUGAAUACAUUAGCAUGGAAUAAUGAAAUAGGACGUUCGAACCUAUUUUGUUGGUUUCUAGGAUCAACGUAAUGAUUAAUAGGGAUAGUUGGGGGCAUUAGUAUUCAAUUGUCAGAGGUGAAAUUCUUGGAUUUAUUGAAGACUAACUACUGACGAAAGCAUUUGCCAAGGAUGUUUUCAUUAAUCAAGAACGAAGGUUAGGGGAUCGAAGACGAUCAGAUACCGUCGUAGUCUUAACCAUAAAUUAUAGCCGACUAGGGAUCGGAUGAUAGUUUAAUUUUUUAAUGUACUCUAU
This 515-nucleotide ribosomal RNA is filed under the name uncultured Glomeraceae. RNAcentral describes it as "SSU rRNA". It matches the Rfam family "Eukaryotic small subunit ribosomal RNA", at positions 569 to 1079 of the family's 1831-position model. Lineage: Eukaryota; Fungi; Glomeromycota; Glomeromycetes; Glomerales; Glomeraceae. The record is from RNAcentral.